This is a long non-coding RNA of Daphnia pulex (common water flea), 1244 nucleotides long. RefSeq lists it as uncharacterized. The transcript is spliced from 5 exons. The record is from RefSeq and is a predicted model, not a curated record. NCBI's taxonomy places the organism in Eukaryota, Metazoa, Arthropoda, Branchiopoda, Diplostraca, Daphniidae.
UUGAAGCCUUCUACAUGGUUUUCAAGUCUCUUUUAGGAGAAAAACUAAACAAUGGUUAAAAAAUGUAACAAGGAUUUUAUUUUAGAUGUGUUAAUAACUUAAUAUCUACGUAUUUUUUUUAUACAACUGAUUCAAACGAACAGAUUGGAGAGAAAACGAGCGAACACACUAAACACGCAAUUUAAGAAAAAUUCGAAUAGAAAAACAGAUCGCGGCCGCUAGAAGGAGCUGCGAGCUGCGACUAAAGCAGACAACAAUCGAAACUCAAAAGUAGUUUAGGCGCCGUUUACAAGCACGUUGGACAAGUUCUUGAGUCACAACUCACAAGAAAAAAAUUGCAAGGAUUUGAAAGUGAAAUCUAUGGAUACGACGAUUGCGUGAUAUUGAGUUGAGCCUUUGAUUAUUAGUAACGAAUUGCAAUUGACCAUUGAAUGGACAUUGGAGAAUGUGAACUGAACGUUUCCUUAACUAACUAGUAACUACAGUUCUGAGUGUUUUAUCUUCAUGGUAGCGUGUUAUCACCCAUUGUUGAAGCUCACUAGGAUUCCAUACUGUCAUAAACUGAUUUGUUGCUGUAGAUGUUGAACCACAACUGACACUCCAAGAUCUCUUUGCUUCACUAUUGAACAAUUUCUAAUUAAGUCUAUAGUGACUGUGUGAUUUUACCAUUCCUCCAUGAUUUUACAAGCUAGAUUUAGCCAUUUAGGCCUACACAAUGAUUUUAUACAUCAAUUCCACCAAAUCAAAGAAGGACAAAAGCAGAGGAGAGACGCCGCAAAUGUUACUUCUUACUUGUCGCACAAGUCCCGGUGUUGGUGUCGCGUUUUGAUGUCAGGUUACCGACUUCGCAACCAGAUUCUUUGCCAUUUGUAAUCGGAAUGAUCACUUUAGUCGAGUUUUACGGUGCAAAUUUAGCCACGGUUUGAUUUUGAAAAGUGGUGAGGUAUUUCUACGCCAUUUGACCGAGCUUAAACGAAAGUGAACAAUUCUAAGGCAUCAUGCCGAAGAUCUUUUGCCUUUCUCCACGUGAUCGCUGCCGUGUCAUGAAGAUGCUUCUUUGAGAGGGUCUCUACUAUAUUGCAAGACAAAAAUGUGAUGAGAACAGGAAAUCUGAGUUGGUUAUAUAAUGUAUUUUAAGAUAAAUCAAAGUUCAAGCUGCAGACGUGCCGGCCAGUUUGCAUGUCCUUCACGCUCGAAGGUCACGGUGAAAAUUACGUGUAAAACUGUCAGUGCGGUGGUGUAGA